This 86-nucleotide transfer RNA is filed under the name Chloroflexota bacterium. RNAcentral's name for it is "Chloroflexi bacterium tRNA-Leu". It matches the Rfam family "tRNA". From Rfam's summary of the family: Transfer RNA (tRNA) molecules are approximately 80 nucleotides in length. Their secondary structure includes four short double-helical elements and three loops (D, anti-codon, and T loops). Lineage: Bacteria; Bacillati; Chloroflexota. The record is from RNAcentral. RNAcentral also lists the same sequence under 1 other name.
GCCGAGGUGGCGGAAUGGCAGACGCGUCGGUCUCAAAAACCGAUGUCCGAAAGGACGUGGGAGUUCGAAUCUCCCUCUCGGCACCA